GGCUCAGGACGAACGCUGGCGGCGUGCCUAAUACAUGCAAGUCGAGCGGACAGAAGGGAGCUUGCUCCCGGAUGUUAGCGGCGGACGGGUGAGUAACACGUGGGUAACCUGCCUGUAAGACUGGGAUAACUCCGGGAAACCGGAGCUAAUACCGGAUAGUUCCUUGAACCGCAUGGUUCAAGGAUGAAAGACGGUUUCGGCUGUCACUUACAGAUGGACCCGCGGCGCAUUAGCUAGUUGGUGGGGUAAUGGCUCACCAAGGCGACGAUGCGUAGCCGACCUGAGAGGGUGAUCGGCCACACUGGGACUGAGACACGGCCCAGACUCCUACGGGAGGCAGCAGUAGGGAAUCUUCCGCAAUGGACGAAAGUCUGACGGAGCAACGCCGCGUGAGUGAUGAAGGUUUUCGGAUCGUAAAGCUCUGUUGUUAGGGAAGAACAAGUGCGAGAGUAACUGCUCGCACCUGAC
RNAcentral lists this ribosomal RNA (468 nucleotides) under Bacillus australimaris. RNAcentral describes it as "bacterial SSU rRNA". It matches the Rfam family "Bacterial small subunit ribosomal RNA", at positions 21 to 483 of the family's 1533-position model. Lineage: Bacteria; Bacillati; Bacillota; Bacilli; Caryophanales; Bacillaceae. The record is from RNAcentral.